Pelobates cultripes (western spadefoot toad) is the source of this 371-nucleotide non-coding RNA. Lineage: Eukaryota; Metazoa; Chordata; Amphibia; Anura; Pelobatidae. The record is from the annotation of a GenBank genome assembly.
CCCUUGUCUGAGAAAGCUCCUCUUGAAGACUGUAGACCAAGCGGCACCCACUUUCGCACACCUCACAGUUGAUGACCAAGAUUUCCAAAAAGUCAACUCGCCCUGUAUACCGCUACAAUCUAUCCCAUUUAUUGAUAAAGUGCAAGAGUUCUAGGAAGGGACCAGCUUAGGGACAGCAUCUGUCUGUCUGGGAAGUCUACCGUGCGGAGAUGUGGUGGGUUAGCCACCUCGGGAUACCCAUGGAGUGAAGUGUUCGAGUGCCCAGCGGACAGAUGAGUUAGCCAAUUAGGGACAGACGAAGGGACAGCUUUGCACUUUGCAAUAACACCUAGCUAGCGGGUCACGGGGUUUCUGUGCCUUUGGGCUAACAC